GGUCUUCUAGAUAGCCAUGCAUGUCUAAGUAUAAAUAGUAUACAGUGAAACUGCGAAUGGCUCAUUAAAACAGUUAUAGUUUAUUUGAUAAUUAAAUCUACAUGGAUAACCGUAGUAAUUCUAGAGCUAAUACAUGCUGCAAGACCUGACUUUUCGGAAAGGUUGUAUUUAUUAAAUCUCAAACCAAUAUUCCUUCGGGUCUAUUGUGAUGAUUCAUAAUAACUUGUCGGAUCGAGGCUGGCCCUCGAUAAAUCAUUCAAGUUUCUGCCCUAUCAGCUUUCGAUGGUAGUGUAUUGGACUACCAUGGCAAUCACGGGUAACGGGGAAUUAAGGUUCUAUUCCGGAGAGCGAGCCUGAAAAACGGCUAACACAUCUAAAGAAGGCAGCAGGCGCGUAAAUUACCCAAUCCUGAUUCAGGGAGGUAGUGACAAGAAAUAACAACUCGGGGGCUCACGCCUUACGAGAUUGAAAUGAGAACAAUCUAAACCCCUUAUCGAGGAACAAUUGGAGGGCAAGUCUGGUCCCCCCGCGCCCCCCCCCCGCCCGGGGAGCACCCCG
RNAcentral lists this ribosomal RNA (558 nucleotides) under uncultured eukaryote. Its description in RNAcentral is "bacterial SSU rRNA". It matches the Rfam family "Eukaryotic small subunit ribosomal RNA", at positions 34 to 587 of the family's 1831-position model. The record is from RNAcentral.